RNAcentral lists this ribosomal RNA (303 nucleotides) under uncultured bacterium. RNAcentral's name for it is "bacterial SSU rRNA". It matches the Rfam family "Bacterial small subunit ribosomal RNA", at positions 355 to 674 of the family's 1533-position model. The record is from RNAcentral.
UGGGGGAUAUUGCACAAUGGGGGGAACCCUGAUGCAGCGACGCCGCGUGGGCGAUGGAGCGUUUCGGCGCGUAAAGCCCUAUCAGCAGGGAAGAGAAUGGACGGUACCUGACUAAGAAGCCCCGGCUAACUACGUGCCAGCAGCCGCGGUAAUACGUAGGGGGCAAGCGUUAUCCGGAUUCACUGGGCGUAAAGGGAGCGCAGGCGGCACGGCAAGUCCGGUGUGAAAGCCCGGGGCCCAACCCCGGGACUGCACUGGAAACUGCCGGGCUGGAGUGUCGGAGGGGCAGGCGGAAUUCCUGGU